UGCAAACUGCGAAUACCGGAGAAUGUUAUCACGGGAGACACACGGCGGGUGCUAACGUCCGUCGUGAAGAGGGAAACAACCCAGACCGCCAGCUAAGGUCCCAAAGUCAUGGUUAAGUGGGAAACGAUGUGGGAAGGCCCAGACAGCCAGGAUGUUGGCUUAGAAGCAGCCAUCAUUUAAAGAAAGCGUAAUAGCUCACUGGUCGAGUCGGCCUGCGCGGAAGAUGUAACGGGGCUAAACCAUGCACCGAAGCUGCGGCAGCGACACUGUGUGUUGUUGGGUAGGGGAGCGUUCUGUAAGCCUGUGAAGGUGUGCUGUGAGGCAUGCUGGAGGUAUCAGAAGUGCGAAUGCUGACAUAAGUAACGAUAAAGCGGGUGAAAAGCCCGCUCGCCGGAAGACCAAGGGUUCCUGUCCAACGUUAAUCGGGGCAGGGUGAGUCGACCCCUAAGGCGAGGCCGAAAGGCGUAGUCGAUGGGAAACAGGUUAAUAUUCCUGUACUUGGUGUUACUGCGAAGGGGGGACGGAGAAGGCUAUGUUGGCCGGGCGACGGUUGUCCCGGUUUAAGCGUGUAGGCUGGUUUUCCAGGCAAAUCCGGAAAAUCAAGGCUGAGGCGUGAUGACGAGGCACUACGGUGCUGAAGCAACAAAUGCCCUGCUUCCAGGAAAAGCCUCUAAGCAUCAGGUAACAUCAAAUCGUACCCCAAACCGACACAGGUGGUCAGGUAGAGAAUACCAAGGCGCUUGAGAGAACUCGGGUGAAGGAACUAGGCAAAAUGGUGCCGUAACUUCGGGAGAAGGCACGCUGAUAUGUAGGUGAAGUCCCUCGCGGAUGGAGCUGAAAUCAGUCGAAGAUACCAGCUGGCUGCAACUGUUUAUUAAAAACACAGCACUGUGCAAACACGAAAGUGGACGUAUACGGUGUGACGCCUGCCCGGUGCCGGAAGGUUAAUUGAUGGGGUCAGCGCAAGCGAAGCUCUUGAUCGAAGCCCCGGUAAACGGCGGCCGUAACUAUAACGGUCCUAAGGUAGCGAAAUUCCUUGUCGGGUAAGUUCCGACCUGCACGAAUGGCGUAAUGAUGGCCAGGCUGUCUCCACCCGAGACUCAGUGAAAUUGAACUCGCUGUGAAGAUGCAGUGUACCCGCGGCAAGACGGAAAGACCCCGUGAACCUUUACUAUAGCUUGACACUGAACAUUGAGCCUUGAUGUGUAGGAUAGGUGGGAGGCUUUGAAGUGUGGACGCCAGUCUGCAUGGAGCCGACCUUGAAAUACCACCCUUUAAUGUUUGAUGUUCUAACGUGGACCCGUGAUCCGGGUUGCGGACAGUGUCUGGUGGGUAGUUUGACUGGGGCGGUCUCCUCCUAAAGAGUAACGGAGGAGCACGAAGGUUGGCUAAUCCUGGUCGGACAUCAGGAGGUUAGUGCAAUGGCAUAAGCCAGCUUGACUGCGAGCGUGACGGCGCGAGCAGGUGCGAAAGCAGGUCAUAGUGAUCCGGUGGUUCUGAAUGGAAGGGCCAUCGCUCAACGGAUAAAAGGUACUCCGGGGAUAACAGGCUGAUACCGCCCAAGAGUUCAUAUCGACGGCGGUGUUUGGCACCUCGAUGUCGGCUCAUCACAUCCUGGGGCUGAAGUAGGUCCCAAGGGUAUGGCUGUUCGCCAUUUAAAGUGGUACGCGAGCUGGGUUUAGAACGUCGUGAGACAGUUCGGUCCCUAUCUGCCGUGGGCGCUGGAGAACUGAGGGGGGCUGCUCCUAGUACGAGAGGACCGGAGUGGACGCAUCACUGGUGUUCGGGUUGUCAUGCCAAUGGCACUGCCCGGUAGCUAAAUGCGGAAGAGAUAAGUGCUGAAAGCAUCUAAGCACGAAACUUGCCCCGAGAUGAGUUCUCCCUGACCCUUUAAGGGUCCUGAAGGAACGUUGAAGACGACGACGUUGAUAGGCCGGGUGUGUAAGCGCAGCGAUGCGUUGAGCUAACCGGUACUAAUGAACCGUGAGGCUUAACCUU
This 1998-nucleotide ribosomal RNA is filed under the name Escherichia coli. RNAcentral describes it as "partial 23S ribosomal RNA". It matches the Rfam family "Bacterial large subunit ribosomal RNA", at positions 948 to 2925 of the family's 2925-position model. Lineage: Bacteria; Pseudomonadati; Pseudomonadota; Gammaproteobacteria; Enterobacterales; Enterobacteriaceae. The record is from RNAcentral.